RNAcentral lists this long non-coding RNA (686 nucleotides) under Cricetulus griseus (Chinese hamster). RNAcentral describes it as "lncRNA (ENSCGRG00015031498.1)". The record is from RNAcentral. Lineage: Eukaryota; Metazoa; Chordata; Mammalia; Rodentia; Cricetidae.
CUAUGAGCUACUCCCAUCAGCCUGAUGCUUGCCUUGUGUGCUUGUCUCUACACUGACGGCCAUUGUAAUCAUCUUCUAUAAGAAAGGAGACCUGAGUUCAAUUCCCACAUCAGGCAUCUCACAAACAACUGCCUGUAUUUCUAGCUCCAAAGGAUGCAGUGUCUCUGGCCUCCUUCAGUAUAUGCAUCGGCAUACAUGUUUAAACACACAUGAAAAUAAAAACAAUCAUCUUGAGGAAUUUAAAGACCUUUGGAAUCAUCCAAAGAAGAAGGGAGAAUUAUCCUGAAAAAUAUUACCAAGGAAUAAUCUGACCUAAUUUAAUCUCUGAAAUCUCCAAAAAGGAGAUGGAACCCCACAACAAUGAUUCCACCAGGACUAUGACAACACCACUAAGCUGAAAACACCAACUAAAGAUCAACUUUGGACUACAAAUUCCUCAGAACAAUUUUGAGGUGGCUAGCUGAGAUGAUCCAGCCUCACAGACUAUUCUAGUCAGGACUUCAGACAAGCCCUGAACUUUCCCAUUACACAAAGACUGAACAAAAAUGAAACAGCUACCUCUCCCAGGACUUGACAAUUAAUCCAAAUUUUUCUUUUCAGUAUCCCCUAAAAAUGCCACCACCCCCAGGCAGGAGGAAGUAAUUUAAAACACAAUGCCCACAUUCCCAAGAAGUGGAGUGGGUGGG